Molecule: long non-coding RNA, 422 nt
Filed under: Olea europaea subsp. europaea
Lineage: Eukaryota; Viridiplantae; Streptophyta; Magnoliopsida; Lamiales; Oleaceae
Source: RNAcentral
GUGAUAUUGAAAUGGACUAGAAAAGUACCCAUGAUUAUGUUCUUCUUCUAGUUCACUGAGGGGCCUUGGCUUUGUUCUACACUACGCUGAGGGGUCUUGAUUGGGGAUAAAGGUGUAUUGAUCGUGUAUAUAUAGUUUACUGAAGAGUCUUGACCAUGUUCUAAAAAUGAUUAUGAGAGGUCCUUAAGACUCGCUUUUGUUCAUUAAGGGGGCCGGGGUCCAUGUUGAGAGUGAUUAGCUUGAGGGACAGUCUAUGCGCAUAAGACUAGAUAACAGAUUUCGAUCAGAGGGUACCUUUUUGGUUGAUUUUGGAGGACAUUUAAUGUGAUGAUAUGAUUUUAUAGAUUUUAGCUGAUGAUUAGGUCAUGAUGAUGAGAUGAUAUUUUUUCAAUGUUAUGAGAUAUCUCGCUUCUUGAUGAUGA